CAGGAUGUAGUUUAUCUAAAAUGUUAAUUUUGGGGAUUAAUGAAGAAUUUAAUUGAUUUUUUCCUGA
RNAcentral lists this transfer RNA (67 nucleotides) under Balta dissecta. Its description in RNAcentral is "tRNA-Pro". The record is from RNAcentral. Lineage: Eukaryota; Metazoa; Arthropoda; Insecta; Blattodea; Pseudophyllodromiidae.